Molecule: ribosomal RNA, 460 nt
Filed under: uncultured bacterium
Lineage: Bacteria
Description: partial 16S ribosomal RNA
Rfam family: Bacterial small subunit ribosomal RNA
Source: RNAcentral
CCUACGGGAGGCUGCAGUGAGGAAUAUUGGUCAAUGGACGAGAGUCUGAACCAGCCAAGUAGCGUGAAGGAUGACUGCCCUAUGGGUUGUAAACUUCUUUUAUAAAGGAAUAAAACGAGGCACGUGUGCCUUUUUGCAUGUACUUUAUGAAUAAGGAUCGGCUAACUCCGUGCCAGCAGCCGCGGUAAUACGGAGGAUCCGAGCGUUAUCCGGAUUUAUUGGGUUUAAAGGGAGCGUAGAUGGGUUGUUAAGUCAGUUGUGAAAGGUUGCGGCUCAACCGUAAAAUUGCAAUUGAUACUGGCAGUCUUGAGUACAGUUGAGGUAGGCGGAAUGCGUGGUGUAGCGGUGAAAUGCUUAGAGAUCACGAAGAACCCCGAUUGCGAAGGCAGCUUACUAAACUGUGACUGACAUUGAUGCUCGAAAGUGUGGGUAUCAAACAGGAUUAGAUACCCCAGUAGUC